CCUACGGGGGGCAGCAGUAGGGAAUCUUUCACAAUGGGCGAAAGCCUGAUGGAGCAACGCCGCGUGCAGGAUGAAGGCCUUCGGGUUGUAAACUGCUUUUAUAAGCGAGAAAUAUGAUGGUAACUUAUGAAUAAGGAUCGGCUAACUACGUGCCAGCAGCCGCGGUCAUACGUAGGAUCCGAGCAUUAUCCGGAGUGACUGGGUGUAAAGAGUUGCGUAGGUGGCAUAAUAAGUAGCUAGUGAAAUCUGGUGGCUCAACCAUUCAGACUAUUAGCUAAACUGUUAAGCUCGAGACCGUUAGGGGUAACUGGAAUUUCUAGUGUAGGAGUGAAAUCCGUAUAUAUUAGAAGGAACACCAAUAGCGUAGGCAGGUUGCUGGGACGGUUCUGACACUAAGGCACGAAAGCGUAGGGAGCAAACGGGAUUAGAUACCCGUGUAGUC
RNAcentral lists this ribosomal RNA (442 nucleotides) under uncultured bacterium. RNAcentral's name for it is "partial 16S ribosomal RNA". It matches the Rfam family "Bacterial small subunit ribosomal RNA", at positions 338 to 795 of the family's 1533-position model. The record is from RNAcentral.